UGUACCGAUUCGAAGCUUGUGGAUGAGCAGGCUGGCAUCGAAGGCACAAUCUCGCUCCUCUUCGCUGGAUUAUCUGGCGCGAACCUGAUCCACGAUGUCG
Chloroflexi bacterium RBG_13_50_21 is the source of this 100-nucleotide non-coding RNA. NCBI's taxonomy places the organism in Bacteria, Bacillati, Chloroflexota. The record is from Rfam.